RNAcentral lists this ribosomal RNA (467 nucleotides) under Comamonadaceae bacterium. RNAcentral's name for it is "bacterial SSU rRNA". It matches the Rfam family "Bacterial small subunit ribosomal RNA", at positions 395 to 854 of the family's 1533-position model. The record is from RNAcentral. Lineage: Bacteria; Pseudomonadati; Pseudomonadota; Betaproteobacteria; Burkholderiales; Comamonadaceae.
UGCCGCGUGCAGGAAGAAGGCCUUCGGGUUGUAAACUGCUUUUGUACGGAACGAAAAGGUCUGGUUUAAUACCCUGGGCUCAUGACGGUACCGUAAGAAUAAGCACCGGCUAACUACGUGCCAGCAGCCGCGGUAAUACGUAGGGUGCAAGCGUUAAUCGGAAUUACUGGGCGUAAAGCGUGCGCAGGCGGUUUUGUAAGACAGAUGUGAAAUCCCCGGGCUCAACCUGGGAACGGCGUUUGUGACUGCAUAGCUGGAGUGCGGCAGAGGGGGAUGGAAUUCCGCGUGUAGCAGUGAAAUGCGUAGAUAUGCGGAGGAACACCGAUGGCGAAGGCAAUCCCCUGGACCUGUACUGACGCUCAUGCACGAAAGCGUGGGGAGCAAACAGGAUUAGAUACCCUGGUAGUCCACGCCCUAAACGAUGUCAACUGGUUGUUGGNCNUUANACUGNNUCAGUAACGAAGCUA